AUUGAACGCUGGCGGCAUGCCUUACACAUGCAAGUCGAACGGUAACGGGCCUUCGGGUGCCGACGAGUGGCGAACGGGUGAGUAAUGCAUCGGAACGUACCCAUCAGUGGGGGAUAACUCUCCGAAAGGAGGGCUAAUACCGCAUAUUCUGUGCGCAGGAAAGCGGGGGACCGCAAGGCCUCGCGCUGAUGGAGCGGCCGGUGUCAGAUUAGCUAGUUGGUGGGGUAAAGGCCUACCAAGGCGACGAUCUGUAGCGGGUCUGAGAGGAUGAUCCGCCACACUGGGACUGGGACACGGCCCAGACUCCUACGGGCGGCAGCGGUGGGGAAUUUUGGACAAUGGGGGCAACCCUGAUCCAGCCAUGCCGCGUGAGUGAAGAAGGCCCUCGGGUUGUAAAGCUCUUUCGGCCGGGAAGAAAUCGCAUCUCCUAAUACGGGGUGUGGAUGACGGUACCGGAAUAAGAAGCACCGGCUAACUACGUGCCAGCCGCCGCGGUAA
RNAcentral lists this ribosomal RNA (498 nucleotides) under uncultured bacterium. Its description in RNAcentral is "partial 16S ribosomal RNA". It matches the Rfam family "Bacterial small subunit ribosomal RNA", at positions 28 to 523 of the family's 1533-position model. The record is from RNAcentral.